CACUCCUACGGGAGGCAGCAGUGGGGAAUAUUGGACAAUGGGCGCAAGCCUGAUCCAGCCAUGCCGCGUGAGUGAUGAAGGCCCUAGGGUUGUAAAGCUCUUUCACCGGUGAAGAUAAUGACGGUAACCGGAGAAGAAGCCCCGGCUAACUUCGUGCCAGCAGCCGCGGUAAUACGAAGGGGGCUAGCGUUGUUCGGAUUUACUGGGCGUAAAGCGCACGUAGGCGGACUAUUAAGUCAGGGGUGAAAUCCCGGGGCUCAACCCCGGAACUGCCUUUGAUACUGGUAGUCUUGAGUUCGAGAGAGGUGAGUGGAAUUCCGAGGUUAGAGGUGAAAUUCGUAGAUAUUCGGAGGAACACCAGUGGCGAAGGCGGCUCACUGGCUCGAUACUGACGCUGAGGUGCGAAAGCGUGGGGAGCAAACAGGAUUAGAAACCCUUGUAGUCCCAUGA
This 450-nucleotide ribosomal RNA is filed under the name uncultured organism. RNAcentral's name for it is "partial 16S ribosomal RNA". It matches the Rfam family "Bacterial small subunit ribosomal RNA", at positions 334 to 800 of the family's 1533-position model. The record is from RNAcentral.